RNAcentral lists this ribosomal RNA (254 nucleotides) under uncultured bacterium. RNAcentral describes it as "partial 16S ribosomal RNA". It matches the Rfam family "Bacterial small subunit ribosomal RNA", at positions 524 to 776 of the family's 1533-position model. The record is from RNAcentral.
GACGAACCGUGCGAACGUUAUUCGGAAUCACUGGGCUUAAAGCGCGUGUAGGCGGGUGGGAACGUCGGCCGCUGAAAUCCCCCGGCUCAACCGGGGAAGUGGCGCCGAAACGGCCCGCCUGGAGGAACGUAGGGGAGCUGGAACUUCCGGUGGAGCGGUGAAAUGCGUUGAGAUCGGAAGGAACGCCCGUGGCGAAAGCGAGGUCCUGGACGCCUACGUGACGCUGAGACGCGAAAGCCAGGGGAGCGAACGGG